AUACGUAGGGGGCAAGCGUUGUCCGGAAUGACUGGGCGUAAAGGGCGUGUAGGCGGUUGAGUAAGUUGGGAGUGAAACUCCUGUUUUCAAGGCAGGAACUGCUCUCAAAACUGCUUGACUUGAGUGCGGAAGAGGUAAGUGGAAUUCCCAGUGUUGCGGUGAAAUGCGUAGAGAUUGGGAGGAACACCAGGGGCGAAGGCGACUUACUGGGCCGUAACUGACGCUGAUGCGCGAAAGCGUGGGGAGCAAACAGGAUUAGAUACCCUGGUAGUCCACGCCCUAAACGAUGUCAACUGGUUGUUGGGGAUUUAUUUUCUCAGUAACGAAGCUAACGCGUGAAGUUGACCGCCUGGGGAGUACGGCCGCAAGGUUAAAACUCAAAGGAAUUGACGGGG
This 395-nucleotide ribosomal RNA is filed under the name uncultured bacterium. Its description in RNAcentral is "partial 16S ribosomal RNA". It matches the Rfam family "Bacterial small subunit ribosomal RNA", at positions 523 to 918 of the family's 1533-position model. The record is from RNAcentral.